RNAcentral lists this unclassified non-coding RNA (390 nucleotides) under soil metagenome. RNAcentral's name for it is "partial contains 5.8S ribosomal RNA, internal transcribed spacer 2, and large subunit ribosomal RNA". The stretch from base 5 to 121 matches the Rfam family "5.8S ribosomal RNA", at positions 40 to 154 of the family's 154-position model. The record is from RNAcentral.
GAUGAGAACGCAGCGAAAUGCGAUACUUGGUGUGAAUUGCAGAAUCCCGUGAACCAUCGAGUCUUUGAACGCAAGUUGCGCCCGAAGCCAUUAGGCCGAGGGCACGCCUGCCUGGGCGUCACACGUCGUUGCCCCCCCAUCUACUCCUUCGGGAUUGCGGGGGGCGGAUGAUGGCCUCUCGUGCGCCUCGUCGCGCGGUUGGCCUAAAUGCCAAGUCCUCGGCGACGCACGCCACGACAAUCGGUGGUUGCGAAACCUCGGUUGCCUGUCGUGUGCGGUCGUCGCGCAUCGAGGGCUCGAAAAAAUUGCCGGGCUUCGGCUCGACUUUCAACGCGACCCCAGGUCAGGCGGGGUUACCCGCUGAAUUUAAGCAUAUCAAUAAGCGGAGGA